RNAcentral lists this ribosomal RNA (442 nucleotides) under uncultured bacterium. Its description in RNAcentral is "partial 16S ribosomal RNA". It matches the Rfam family "Bacterial small subunit ribosomal RNA", at positions 338 to 795 of the family's 1533-position model. The record is from RNAcentral.
CCUACGGGGGGCUGCAGUGGGGAAUAUUGGGCAAUGGGCGCAAGCCUGACCCAGCAAUGCCGCGUGAAGGAAGAAGGCUUUCGGGUUGUAAACUUCUUUGACAGGGGAAGAGCAGAAGACGGUACCCUGAAAACAAGCCACGGCUAACUACGUGGCAGCAGCCGGGGUAAUACGUAGGUGGCAGGUGUUGUACGGAUUUAGUGGGGGUAAAGGGGGGGUAGACGGGAAGGCAAGUGAGAUGUUAAAUCCGGAGGCUCAACCUCAGUAUUGCAUUUGAAACUGUUUUUCUGUAGUCCUGGAGAGGCAGACGGAAUUCGUUGUGUAGCGGCGAAAUGCGUAGAUAUAAGGAGGAACCCCAGGGGCGAAGGCGGUCUGCUGGACAGCAACUGACGGUGAGGCGCGAAAGCGUGGGGAGAAAACAGGAUGAGAUACCCCGGUAGUC